UGGGGGAUAUUGCACAAUGGGCGAAAGCCUGAUGCAGCGACGCCGCGUGGGGGAUGAAGGCCUUCGGGUUGUAAACUUCUUUUGCUCUGAACAAGGCAUGCCUUUGGGGUGUGUUGAGUGUAGGGGUUGAUUAGCGCCGGCUAACUACGUGCCAGCAGCCGCGGUAAUACGUAGGGUGCAAGCGUUAAUCGGAAUUACUGGGCGUAAAGCGCACGUAGGCUGCUUUGUAAGUCAGGGGUGAAAUCCCACGGCUCAACCGUGGAACUGCCUUUGAUACUGCUUAGCUUGAAUCCGGGAGAGGGUGGCGGAAUUCCAGGUGUAGGAGUGAAAUCCGUAGAUAUCUGGAGGAACAUCAGUGGCGAAGGCGGCCACCUGGACCGGUAUUGACGCUGAGGUGCGAAAGCGUGGGGAGCAAACAGG
This 420-nucleotide ribosomal RNA is filed under the name Fusobacteriota bacterium. RNAcentral describes it as "Fusobacteria bacterium partial 16S ribosomal RNA". It matches the Rfam family "Bacterial small subunit ribosomal RNA", at positions 355 to 776 of the family's 1533-position model. The record is from RNAcentral. Lineage: Bacteria; Fusobacteriati; Fusobacteriota.